UCAAGCUAAAAAGGGCGCAAGGUGAAUGCCUUGGCACUGGGAGCCGAUGAAAGACGUGGUAAGCUGCGAAAAGCUUCGGGGAGGAGCAAACAUCCAUUGAUCCGGAGAUAUCUGAAUGGGGCAACCCAAUGGAGUUCAUACUCCAUUAUCCAAUAUUGAAUCCAUAGGUAUUGGAAGGGAACCGCCUGAACUGAAACAUCUAAGUAGGGCGAGGAAGAGACAUCAAACGAGAUUCCGUAAGUAGUGGCGAGCGAACGCGGAAGAGGGCAAACCGAGAGUAGAAAUACUUUCGGGGUACGGACUGCUUUUAGGACUUAAUCUGUUAACCGAACGGCAUGGGAAGGCCGGUCAGAGAGUGUGAGAACCACGUAGGUGAAAACGGAGAGAGCUGCGCAGGAUCCAGAGUACGGCCAGACACGUGAAACCUGGUCGGAAUACGGGGGGACCACCCUCCAACCCUAAAUACUACCCAGUGACCGAUAGCGUAUAGUACUGUGAAGGAAAGGUGAAAAGGACCCCGGGAGGGGAGUGAAAGAGAACCUGAAACCUUGUGCCUACAAGCACAUAGAGCCCGUCAAAGGGUGAUAUGGUACUUUUUGUAGAACGGUCCGGCGAGCGAUUGUACGUUGCAAGCUUAAGGUCUUAAGGACUGGAGGCGUAGCGAGAGCGAGUCUAAACAGGGCGUUUAGUAGCGUGCAAUGGGCCCGAAACCGGGUGACCUACCCAUGAUCAGGCUGAAGUGAAAGUAAAAUUUCAUGGAGGGCCGAACCGACCUCCGUUGAAAAGGCGGCGGAUGAAUUGUGGGUAGCGGAGAAAUUCCAAUCGAACUCGGAGAUAGCUGGUUCUCCCCGAAAUAGCUUUAGGGCUAGCCUCAUGUUAGAUAUCCGGAGGUAAAGCACUGAAUGGCCUAGCGUCCGAGAGGAUAGCGAAGCCUAUCAAACUAAGAAUGCCGGAAUAUUGAUGCAUGGGAGUCAGACAGUGUGAGAUAAAUCUCAUUGUCAAAAGGGAAACAGCCCAGAUCUACAGCUAAGGUCCCAAAUUGUAUCUAAGUGGAAAACGAUGUGGAAAUACGCAGACAACCAGGAUGUUGGCUCAGAAGCAGCCACUCAUUUAAAGAGUGCGUAAUAGCUCACUGGUCGAGCGUCUCUGCGCGGAAAAUUUAACGGGGCUAAGAUACAAACCGAAGCUUAGGCUGCAUACGGAAGUAUGCGGGGUAGGGGAGCGUUGUGUAAGCGGAGAAACAGUAGCGUAAGCGGCUGUGGAGUUUACAGAAGUGAGAAUGCCGGAAUGAGUAGCGCGAAUGAUGUGAGAAUCAUCAUGGCCGGAAACCUCAGGUUUUUGGAGGAAGGUUCGUCCGCUCCAAGUUAGGCGGGAGCUAAGGUGAGGCCGAAAGGCGUAGCCGAUGCACAGACGGUAGAGAUUCCGUCCCCACCGAAAGAUUUAAGCGCAGGGACACUUUUAGAAGGUCGGAGCCAGGUGUUGGUUCUGGUAGAGAUCGAGGGAAGAUUAGUACCGAAGUCCGGCUGGAUAAGAGGCGAGAAAAGCUGCGUGUAUAUCUAAGGUGCCCGUACCGCAAACCGACACAGGUAGGUAGGAAGAAGAUUCUAAGGCCAACGGGAGAAGGGUUGUUAAGGAACUCGGCAAAUUGACCCCGUAACUUCGGGAGAAGGGGUGCUCCAGAGAUGGAGCCGCAGAGAAUCGGCCCAAGCAACUGUUUACCAAAAACACAGGUUUGUGCUAAAUCGAAAGAUGACGUAUACGAGCUGACGCCUGCCCGGUGCUGGAAGGUUAAAAGGAGAUGUGCAAGCAUUGAAUUGAAGCCCCAGUGAACGGCGGCCGUAACUAUAACGGUCCUAAGGUAGCGAAAUUCCUUGUCAGGUAAGUUCUG
RNAcentral lists this ribosomal RNA (1888 nucleotides) under human gut metagenome. Its description in RNAcentral is "bacterial LSU rRNA". It matches the Rfam family "Bacterial large subunit ribosomal RNA", at positions 3 to 1985 of the family's 2925-position model. The record is from RNAcentral.